Molecule: ribosomal RNA, 571 nt
Filed under: uncultured Bifidobacterium sp.
Lineage: Bacteria; Bacillati; Actinomycetota; Actinomycetes; Bifidobacteriales; Bifidobacteriaceae
Description: partial 16S rRNA
Source: RNAcentral
CACUAGUGAUUGGUGUUCUUCCCGAUAUCUACACAUUCCACCGUUACACCGGGAAUUCCAGUCUCCCCUACCGCACUCAAGCCCGCCCGUACCCGGCGCGGAUCCACCGUUAAGCGAUGGACUUUCACACCGGACGCGACGAACCGCCUACGAGCCCUUUACGCCCAAUAAUUCCGGAUAACGCUUGCACCCUACGUAUUACCGCGGCUGCUGGCACGUAGUUAGCCGGUGCUUAUUCGAAAGGUACACUCACCCGAAGGCUUGCUCCCGAUCAAAAGCGGUUUACAACCCGAAGGCCGUCAUCCCGCACGCGGCGUCGCUGCAUCAGGCUUGCGCCCAUUGUGCAAUAUUCCCCACUGCUGCCUCCCGUAGGAGUCUGGGCCGUAUCUCAGUCCCAAUGUGGCCGGUCGCCCUCUCAGGCCGGCUACCCGUCGUAGGCUCGGUGGGCCGUUACCCCGCCGACUACCUGAUAGGACGCGACCCCUUCCCAUACCGAUGAUAUCUUUCCCGGAAGGACAUGCAUCCUACCGGAACAUCCGGCUUACCACCCGUUUCCAGGAGAAUCGAAUUA